UACAGGGGGCUCGAGCGUUAGUCGGAAUCACUGGGCUUAAAGGGCGCGUAGGCGGCUUGCCAAGUCAGGGGUGAAAUCUUUCGGCUUAACCGGAAAAGUGCUUCUGAUACUGGCAGGCUGGAGGGAGGUAGGGGCAGAUGGAACUUCCGGUGGAGCGGUGAAAUGCGUAGAUAUCGGAAGGAACGCCGGUGGCGAAAGCGAUCUGCUGGACCUCUUCUGACGCUGAGGCGCGAAAGCCAGGGGAGCAAACGGG
Molecule: ribosomal RNA, 253 nt
Filed under: uncultured bacterium
Lineage: Bacteria
Description: partial 16S ribosomal RNA
Rfam family: Bacterial small subunit ribosomal RNA
Source: RNAcentral